AUGGCCUAAAGCGUGGUUAAAUAAAUAUUAAAAUUAAUAGAAAUAAAAAUUAACUUAACUGUCGUACGUAUUUGUUAAACGGAUACCCAAAACCGAAAGAUAUUCUAAUAAAUAAACUACUUAAACCCACGAAAGCUAAGGAACAAACUAGGAUUAGAUACCCUAUUAUGCUUAGCCUUAAACUUUGGAAACCCCGCCUGAGUACUACGAGCCACAGCUUAAAACUCAAAGGACUUGGCGGUGCUCUAUACCCCCCUAGAGGAGCCUGUUCUAUAAUUGAUACUCCCCGCUAAACCUCACCAUUUAUUGCCAAUACCGCCUAUAUACCGCCGUCGUCAGCCCACCAUUUAAAUGGAUAAUAGUAGGCAUAAUGAUAAACAUAAAAACGUCAGGUCAAGGUGUAGCGAAUUAAAUGGAAAGAAAUGGGCUACAUUUUCUAUACAGAAAAUACGAAAAAUCUUAUGAAAAAAAAUUUAAAGGUGGAUUUAGCAGUAAAAAGAAAACAUAGUGUUCUUUUUAAAUAGGCCCUAGAGCGCGCACACACCGCCCGUCACCCUCCUCAAAGAAAAAACUAAUAAUAUAAUUAAAUAAGAAUAGAAGAAGAGGAAAGUCGUAACAUGGUAAGUUUACCGGAAGGUGUACUUGGAUUAU
RNAcentral lists this ribosomal RNA (651 nucleotides) under Batrachuperus yenyuanensis (Yenyuan stream salamander). Its description in RNAcentral is "partial 12S ribosomal RNA". It matches the Rfam family "Bacterial small subunit ribosomal RNA", at positions 555 to 1533 of the family's 1533-position model. The record is from RNAcentral. Lineage: Eukaryota; Metazoa; Chordata; Amphibia; Caudata; Hynobiidae.